This 1700-nucleotide ribosomal RNA is filed under the name Campylobacter jejuni. RNAcentral describes it as "partial 23S ribosomal RNA". It matches the Rfam family "Bacterial large subunit ribosomal RNA", at positions 1244 to 2925 of the family's 2925-position model. The record is from RNAcentral. Lineage: Bacteria; Pseudomonadati; Campylobacterota; Epsilonproteobacteria; Campylobacterales; Campylobacteraceae.
UUUGCGCCGAAGGUAUACCGGUAAGGAGUGCUGGAGCGAAUAGAAGUGAGCAUGCAGGCAUGAGUAGCGAUAAUUAAUGUGAGAAUCAUUAACGCCGUAAACCCAAGGUUUCCUACGCGAUGCUCGUCAUCGUAGGGUUAGUCGGGUCCUAAGCCGAGUCCGAAAGGGGUAGGCGAUGGCAAAUUGGUUAAUAUUCCAAUACCAACAUUAGUGUGCGAUGGAAGGACGCUUAGGGCUAAGGGGGCUAGCGGAUGGAAGUGCUAGUCUAAGGUCGUAGGAGCUUAUACAGGCAAAUCCGUAUAAGAACACUCCGAGAACUGAAAGGCUUUUUGAAAUCUUCGGAUGGAUAGAAGAACCCCUGAUGCCGUCGAGCCAAGAAAAGUUUCUAAGUUUAGCUAAUGUUGCCCGUACCGUAAACCGACACAGGUGGGUGGGAUGAGUAUUCUAAGGCGCGUGGAAGAACUCUCUUUAAGGAACUCUGCAAAAUAGCACCGUAUCUUCGGUAUAAGGUGUGGUUCGCUUCGUACUAGGAUUUACUCCGAAAGCGAAGAAACUUACAACAAAGAGUCCCUCCCGACUGUUUACCAAAAACACAGCACUCUGCUAACUCGUAAGAGGAUGUAUAGGGUGUGACGCCUGCCCGGUGCUCGAAGGUUAAUUGAUGGGGUUAGCAUUAGCGAAGCUCUUGAUCGAAGCCCGAGUAAACGGCGGCCGUAACUAUAACGGUCCUAAGGUAGCGAAAUUCCUUGUCGGUUAAAUACCGACCUGCAUGAAUGGCGUAACGAGAUGGGAGCUGUCUCAAAGAGGGAUCCAGUGAAAUUGUAGUGGAGGUGAAAAUUCCUCCUACCCGCGGCAAGACGGAAAGACCCCGUGGACCUUUACUACAGCUUGACACUGCUACUUGGAUAAGAAUGUGCAGGAUAGGUGGGAGGCUUUGAGUAUAUGACGCCAGUUGUAUAUGAGCCAUUGUUGAGAUACCACUCUUUCUUAUUUGGGUAGCUAACCAGCUUGAGUUAUCCUCAAGUGGGACAAUGUCUGGUGGGUAGUUUGACUGGGGCGGUCGCCUCCCAAAUAAUAACGGAGGCUUACAAAGGUUGGCUCAGAACGGUUGGAAAUCGUUCGUAGAGUAUAAAGGUAUAAGCCAGCUUAACUGCAAGACAUACAAGUCAAGCAGAGACGAAAGUCGGUCUUAGUGAUCCGGUGGUUCUGUGUGGAAGGGCCAUCGCUCAAAGGAUAAAAGGUACCCCGGGGAUAACAGGCUGAUCUCCCCCAAGAGCUCACAUCGACGGGGAGGUUUGGCACCUCGAUGUCGGCUCAUCGCAUCCUGGGGCUGGAGCAGGUCCCAAGGGUAUGGCUGUUCGCCAUUUAAAGCGGUACGCGAGCUGGGUUCAGAACGUCGUGAGACAGUUCGGUCCCUAUCUGCCGUGGGCGUAAGAAGAUUGAAGAGAUUUGACCCUAGUACGAGAGGACCGGGUUGAACAAACCACUGGUGUAGCUGUUGUUCUGCCAAGAGCAUCGCAGCGUAGCUAAGUUUGGAAAGGAUAAACGCUGAAAGCAUCUAAGCGUGAAGCCAACUCUAAGAUGAAUCUUCUCUAAGCUCUCUAGAAGACUACUAGUUUGAUAGGCUGGGUGUGUAAUGGAUGAAAGUCCUUUAGCUGACCAGUACUAAUAGAGCGUUUGGCUUAUCUUUAAUAAAGCAU